ACUACAUUCUGCUCUCGGAAUUGCUCUCCUGCUUUUUAAUUUUCCCCAGGAAGGAUACCACCGUUGUGGUCUAAGCCAUGAGUGCUGGUGGGGACAGACCUGCCUUAAGAUCCAGCGUGGGACUUCCCUGUGCAAGCCAGGAG
This 143-nucleotide long non-coding RNA is filed under the name Ictidomys tridecemlineatus (thirteen-lined ground squirrel). RNAcentral describes it as "lncRNA (ENSSTOG00000032549.1)". The record is from RNAcentral. Lineage: Eukaryota; Metazoa; Chordata; Mammalia; Rodentia; Sciuridae.